This 864-nucleotide ribosomal RNA is filed under the name Sarcocystis miescheriana. RNAcentral's name for it is "SSU rRNA". It matches the Rfam family "Eukaryotic small subunit ribosomal RNA", at positions 169 to 931 of the family's 1831-position model. The record is from RNAcentral. Lineage: Eukaryota; Apicomplexa; Conoidasida; Eucoccidiorida; Sarcocystidae.
ACAUGCGCAAAUACUAUAUCAUUCUCUCUCUUUUUGGGGGUGUUGUGAUAUAGUAGUGUUUAUUAGAUACAGAACCAACACAUCAUUAUUACCAUAUUUUAUGGUGGUGGUGAUGUAAAAUAAGGUGAUUCAUAGUAACCGAACGGAUCGCAUUAUAAUUAUCAUUAUUUGAUGAUUGGCGAUAGAUCAUUCAAGUUUCUGACCUAUCAGCUUUCGACGGUAGUGUAUUGGACUACCGUGGCAGUGACGGGUAACGGGGAAUUAGGGUUCGAUUCCGGAGAGGGAGCCUGAGAAACGGCUACCACAUCUAAGGAAGGCAGCAGGCGCGCAAAUUACCCAAUCCUGACUCAGGGAGGUAGUGACAAGAAAUAACAACACUGGAAAUUUGAUUUCUAGUGAUUGGAAUGAUGGGAAUCCAAACCCCUUUCAGAGUAACAAUUGGAGGGCAAGUCUGGUGCCAGCAGCCGCGGUAAUUCCAGCUCCAAUAGCGUAUAUUAAAGUUGUUGCAGUUAAAAAGCUCGUAGUUGGAUGUCUGUUGGAAGCAAUCAUCAGUCCGCCCUAUUUGAUUAGGGUGUGAAUAUGAUGAAUUCCGGCAUAAUUGUCUCCCUAUUGUUAAUAUUCUGAUUGUUAGAUUCAUUUCUAACAAUAAUACGAUUAUUAAUAAUAAGGGGGAAAUGUUACUUUGAGAAAAUUAGAGUGUUUGAAGCAGGCUUUUGUUGCCUUGAAUACUGCAGCAUGGAAUAACAAUAUAGGAUUUCGGUUCUAUUUUGUUGGUUCUUUUUUUAGGACUGAAAUAAUGAUUAAUAGGGACAGUUGGGGGCAUUCGUAUUUAACUGUCAGAGGUGAAAUUGUUUGAAUCUGUUG